CAAUGCAGGCAGAUUCUUCUGCCUUAAGUCCCGAAGUAGUUGGGAAUGCCUUUGUGGAGCAAUACUACAGUAUUCUUUGUCAAUCACCUGAUAAUGUUCACAGAUUUUAUCAGGAAUCAAAUAUGCUAAGCCGGCCAGAUCCUUCCGGUGCUAUGAGAAGACCAUCAAAGGCAUAAAUGACAAGAUUUUGUCUAUGGACUAUCAGAAUUUUAAGAGCCAAUUCAUGCUCCCAAUAACCAUGCUGUGAAUCACAAUUCACCAACCCCUGCAAAUGAGGACACUGAAAACGGCAAAGAAGUCAGUCAUCCAUUGGACAAUGGAAAAGUUUUGGUGGCUGAGAAAGUGGUUGUUCCAGAGCAUCCAAUCAUUUCAAGCCAGAAUGAUGCCCCUCCGGUCACAAAGACCCUUGCUUCUAAAACACAAGACGAAGUCCCCAAGAAAUCUUUUGCAUCAGUGGUACAUGAUUUGAAAAAGAGUAAUUCUCCAUUUGAUGUUGUUCUGAGGGUUCCACCUGUUAAACUUGUGGAACAAUCACGGGUCACUGCAGCAGCAGCUAUAGCAACUGCUCCUAAUAGCAACAAU
Pistacia vera is the source of this 582-nucleotide long non-coding RNA. RefSeq lists it as uncharacterized. The record is from RefSeq and is a predicted model, not a curated record. The transcript has 4 exons. Lineage: Eukaryota; Viridiplantae; Streptophyta; Magnoliopsida; Sapindales; Anacardiaceae.